UUUGGACCGGGGGAGGAAACCGGAGUACCCGGAGGAAACCCCCGAGGCACGGGGAGAACAUGCAAACUCCACACACACAAGGCGGAGGCGGGAAUCGAACCCCGACCCUGGAGGUGUGAUAAAGAGGCUGCAGUGCACUAUCGAGCUGGAACACCAGUCCCCAAUCCCUGACUGUACCUGAGACAGGUAGUGAGGUACAAUCAGUGAGCACCACAGCAACAGCCAGUCACACCACGAGAUGUCAGCCGAACCCACACCCUCCCUACAUCACCAUGGCAACUGCAGGACCAUGUGGUGUGAUCUCUCUCUCUGUGUGUGUGUGUGUGUGUGUGUGUGUGUGUGUGUGUGUGUGUGUGUGUGUGUGUUUUUG
This is a long non-coding RNA of Tachysurus fulvidraco (yellow catfish), 370 nucleotides long. RefSeq lists it as uncharacterized. The transcript has 3 exons. The record is from RefSeq and is a predicted model, not a curated record. Lineage: Eukaryota; Metazoa; Chordata; Actinopteri; Siluriformes; Bagridae.